CAAGCAAGGAGCCCCCUAGUUUGAACCCCCGAAACCAGACGAGCUACUCCGGGACAGCCUAACAUAGGGCCAACCCGUCUCUGUGGCAAAAGAGUGGGAAGAUCCCCGAGUAGAGGUGAAAGACCUACCGAGUCAGGUUAUAGCUGGUUGCCCAGGAAAUGAAUAAAAGUUCAGCUCCGUCAAGCCCCCACCCCAGUAAAAUCAAGGUAAAAGGACAUAUACGGAAGUUAGUUAAAGGAGGUACAGCUCCCUUAACAAAGGACACAACCUUCACAGGAGGCUAAAGAAUACAUUAAGCCAAGGCCACAGGUUUCAGUGGGCCUAAAAGCAGCCACCUGGACAGAAAGCGUUAAAGCUCAAACCGAAUCAAGCCCAUUAUACUAUUAAAUACCUCUAAUGCCCCUAACCAAUACUGAGCCUCUCCAUGCCCACAUGGAAAAGACCAUGCUAGAACGAGUAAUAAGAAGUAAAGAACUUCUCCCCGCACACGUGUACGUCGAACCGGACUAUCCACCGACAAUUAACGAACCCAAUAACAGAGGUCCAUGCACCACCGCCACAUAAAGCCAAGAAAACCACGCAAAUCCAAUCGUUAACCCCACACAGGAGUGCAAACAAGGAAAGACUUAAAGAAUAAAAAGGAACUCGGCAAACCCAGACCCCGCCUGUUUACCAAAAACAUCGCCUCCUGCCCAAAUUACCCC
This 704-nucleotide ribosomal RNA is filed under the name Gudusia chapra (Indian river shad). RNAcentral's name for it is "partial 16S ribosomal RNA". The stretch from base 1 to 451 matches the Rfam family "Bacterial large subunit ribosomal RNA", at positions 689 to 1300 of the family's 2925-position model. Lineage: Eukaryota; Metazoa; Chordata; Actinopteri; Clupeiformes; Clupeidae. The record is from RNAcentral.